GACGAACCGUGCAAACGUUGUUCGGAAUCACUGGGCUUAAAGGGCGCGUAGGCGGGGGACCAAGUCCGGGGUGAAAUCUUUCGGCUCAACCGGAAAACUGCCUUGGAUACUGGUCUUCUUGAGGGAGGUGGGGGCAGGUGGAACUUCCGGUGGAGCGGUGAAAUGCGUUGAUAUCGGAAGGAACGCCGGUGGCGAAAGCGGCCUGCUGGAUCUCUUCUGACGCUGAGGCGCGAAAGCUAGGGGAGCGAACGGGAUUAGAAC
This 261-nucleotide ribosomal RNA is filed under the name uncultured bacterium. Its description in RNAcentral is "partial 16S ribosomal RNA". It matches the Rfam family "Bacterial small subunit ribosomal RNA", at positions 524 to 784 of the family's 1533-position model. The record is from RNAcentral.